GGAUGUGAAGGGAUCUGGCUGAGCCUCUGUCUCCCUAGUUAUCUCCAGGGUGGGUUCAGCUGAGCAGGCUGUAUAGGCAGGUGUUCUUGCCUCCUCACUGUUCUCUGUGUGUCCCUCCUGAAGUUGUGCACUGGGUCAGAGAAGACAACCUUCCUUGGUAGGAGAGGACUGAGGAUGAAUAAAUAAAUAAACAAGCAAAUAAAUACACAAAUAAAUUGU
This 219-nucleotide small nuclear RNA is filed under the name Urocitellus parryii (Arctic ground squirrel). RNAcentral describes it as "7SK RNA (ENSUPAG00010011041.1)". The stretch from base 1 to 173 matches the Rfam family "7SK RNA". Rfam says of the family: 7SK was discovered as an abundant small nuclear RNA in the mid-70s but a possible function has only recently been suggested. Two independent studies have found that 7SK RNA binds the CDK9/cyclin T complex (known as elongation factor P-TEFb). The record is from RNAcentral. Lineage: Eukaryota; Metazoa; Chordata; Mammalia; Rodentia; Sciuridae.